Molecule: ribosomal RNA, 587 nt
Filed under: Colletotrichum gloeosporioides
Lineage: Eukaryota; Fungi; Ascomycota; Sordariomycetes; Glomerellales; Glomerellaceae
Description: eukaryotic LSU rRNA
Rfam family: 5.8S ribosomal RNA (bases 215-368)
Source: RNAcentral
CGUAACAAGGUUUCCGUAGGUGAACCAGCGGAGGGAUCAUUACUGAGUUUACGCUCUACAACCCUUUGUGAACAUACCUAUAACUGUUGCUUCGGCGGGUAGGGUCUCCGCGACCCUCCCGGCCUCCCGCCCCCGGGCGGGUCGGCGCCCGCCGGAGGAUAACCAAACUCUGAUUUAACGACGUUUCUUCUGAGUGGUACAAGCAAAUAAUCAAAACUUUUAACAACGGAUCUCUUGGUUCUGGCAUCGAUGAAGAACGCAGCGAAAUGCGAUAAGUAAUGUGAAUUGCAGAAUUCAGUGAAUCAUCGAAUCUUUGAACGCACAUUGCGCCCGCCAGCAUUCUGGCGGGCAUGCCUGUUCGAGCGUCAUUUCAACCCUCAAGCUCUGCUUGGUGUUGGGGCCCUACAGCUGAUGUAGGCCCUCAAAGGUAGUGGCGGACCCUCCCGGAGCCUCCUUUGCGUAGUAACUUUACGUCUCGCACUGGGAUCCGGAGGGACUCUUGCCGUAAAACCCCCCAAUUUUCCAAAGGUUGACCUCGGAUCAGGUAGGAAUACCCGCUGAACUUAAGCAUAUCAAUAAGCGGAGGA